RNAcentral lists this ribosomal RNA (497 nucleotides) under uncultured bacterium. Its description in RNAcentral is "partial 16S ribosomal RNA". It matches the Rfam family "Bacterial small subunit ribosomal RNA", at positions 28 to 507 of the family's 1533-position model. The record is from RNAcentral.
GAUGAACGCUGGCGGCGUGCCUAAUACAUGCAAGUCGAGCGAACGGACGAGAAGCUUGCUUCUCUGAUGUUAGCGGCGGACGGGUGAGUAACACGUGGAUAACCUACCUAUAAGACUGGGAUAACUUCGGGAAACCGGAGCUAAUACCGGAUAAUAUUUUGAACCGCAUGGUUCAAAAGUGAAAGACGGUCUUGCUGUCACUUAUAGAUGGAUCCGCGCUGCAUUAGCUAGUUGGUAAGGUAACGGCUUACCAAGGCAACGAUGCCUAGCCGACCUGAGAGGGGGAUCGGCCACACUUGAACUGAGACACGGUCCCGACCCCUACGGGAGGCAGCAGUAGGGAAUCUUCCGCAAUGGGCGAAAGCCUGACGGAGCAACGCCGCGUGAGUGAUGAAGGUCUUCGGAUCGUAAAACCCUGUUAUUAGGGAAGAACAAAUGUGUAAGUAACUGUGCACAUCUUGACGGUACCUAAUCAGAAAGCCACGGCUAACUACGUG